This 253-nucleotide ribosomal RNA is filed under the name uncultured bacterium. Its description in RNAcentral is "partial 16S ribosomal RNA". It matches the Rfam family "Bacterial small subunit ribosomal RNA", at positions 524 to 776 of the family's 1533-position model. The record is from RNAcentral.
UACGGAGGAUCCGAGCGUUAUCCGGAUUUAUUGGGUUUAAAGGGAGCGUAGGUGGAUUGCUAAGUCAGUUGUGAAAGUUUGCGGCUCAACCGUAAAAUUGCAGUUGAAACUGGCAGUCUUGAGUACAGUAGAGGUGGGCGGAAUUCGUGGUGUAGCGGUGAAAUGCUUAGAUAUCACGAAGAACUCCGAUUGCGAAGGCAGCUCACUGGACUGCAACUGACACUGAGGCUCGAAAGUGUGGGUAUCAAACAGG